GGACAGGGAGUGACGACACACAGAGCAACUCCAGCACGAAAACAAAACCCUGCAUUAAAAAACAACUGUGAACAGCGACGGUGUGCAUUGCUCUUCACGGAACUCUCUGUUCUUCAUAAUUUUAAUAUGACAGCCAGACCUAUACCGUGGGUGAAUGAAGUGGUCGAGACUUUUCUGUCUAUGGUGGCGGACCAAAGAAUACAGAGGGAGCUAGACGGAGAAAGUUUAUCAGGAGGUCUCUGAGUGGAUGGCCGCUCACAUAUACAGUAGACUAUAUAAAGAGGACAAUGAAGCAGCGUAGGGAGAAGCUGAAAAAGCUCAAAAGUGACUAUCGGUCUACCAAGGACCACAACGGCCGGCGUGGGCCAACCAGAAGGUGUUGGAAGAGGUUUAAUGACCGCUAUUUACUGGCACCGCCAGCAGCAGGAGGGAGACACAGCCGCUGCAUUGUUGGAGACGUUCGAGGACGGCAAGAGGAAAAGGGGCCACAGAAUAUUGGACCUUCCAAGCGUACUUGUGGAGAUGCAGGCUGAGGAGGAGCAGAGUCAUGCCCAGCAUGAUGAGAACAUCCAGUUGCUCCUCAGCGAGGCAAGAGAGAAUGAAGCGGCCUUGCAGCGGGAGGAGAUGGCCCAGAAUACUGCCUUCAACCAGUCAUUCCUGGGUGUGCUGGGGCAGCUGGGGUAGCUGGGGCAGGCAGUGGGCAGCCGGCGAGUGUGAGCGAUUCCACCUCCCAUAGACUUGAGAUUUACAAGUGCUGGUCAUAUAAUUAGAAUAUCAUGAAAAAGCUCGUCUUUUGGACAACUGUCAGUCUUCCC
Long non-coding RNA from Amphiprion ocellaris (clown anemonefish), 815 nucleotides. The record is from Ensembl. Lineage: Eukaryota; Metazoa; Chordata; Actinopteri; Pomacentridae.